GCCUAUGACCAUAUCACCCUGAAUGUGCCUGAUCUUGUCGGAUCUCGGAAGCUAAGUAGGGUUGGGUCUGGUUAGUACCCGGAUGGGAGAAUUACAGUUGAACUUUUAAGUCCUCCUAAUCC
Molecule: ribosomal RNA, 122 nt
Filed under: Castor canadensis (American beaver)
Lineage: Eukaryota; Metazoa; Chordata; Mammalia; Rodentia; Castoridae
Source: RNAcentral